CCACACCGGGUGGACAUGUGGUUUAUUCGAAGCAACGCGAAGAACCUUACCAGGUCUUGACAUCCUCUGACAACUCUAGAGAUAGAGCGUUCCCCUUCGGGGGACAGAGUGACAGGUGGUGCAUGGUUGUCGUCAGCUCGUGUCGUGAGAUGUUGGGUUAAGUCCCGCAACGAGCGCAACCCUUGAUCUUAGUUGCCAGCAUUUAGUUGGGCACUCUAAGGUGACUGCCGGUGACAAACCGGAGGAAGGUGGGGAUGACGUCAAAUCAUCAUGCCCCUUAUGACCUGGGCUACACACGUGCUACAAUGGAUGGUACAAAGGGCUGCAAGACCGCGAGGUCAAGCCAAUCCCAUAAAACCAUUCUCAGUUCGGAUUGUAGGCUGCAACUCGCCUACAUGAAGCUGGAAUCGCUAGUAAUCGCGGAUCAGCAUGCCGCGGUGAAUACGUUCCCGGGCCUUGUACCACCCGCCCGUUA
This 475-nucleotide ribosomal RNA is filed under the name Priestia megaterium. RNAcentral describes it as "bacterial SSU rRNA". It matches the Rfam family "Bacterial small subunit ribosomal RNA", at positions 921 to 1399 of the family's 1533-position model. The record is from RNAcentral. Lineage: Bacteria; Bacillati; Bacillota; Bacilli; Caryophanales; Bacillaceae.